Molecule: ribosomal RNA, 492 nt
Filed under: uncultured bacterium
Lineage: Bacteria
Description: partial 16S ribosomal RNA
Rfam family: Bacterial small subunit ribosomal RNA
Source: RNAcentral
AGUGAACGCUGGCGGUAGGCCUAACACAUGCAAGUCGAACGGCAGCACAGUAAGAGCUUGCUCUUACGGGUGGCGAGUGGCGGACGGGUGAGGAAUACAUCGGAAUCUACUUUUUCGUGGGGGAUAACGUAGGGAAACUUACGCUAAUACCGCAUACGACCUACGGGUGAAAGCAGGGGAUCUUCGGACCUUGCGCGAUUGAAUGAGCCGAUGUCGGAUUAGCUAGUUGGCGGGGUAAAGGCCCACCAAGGCGACGAUCCGUAGCUGGUCUGAGAGGAUGAUCAGCCACACGGGAACUGAGACACGGUCCAGACGCCUACGGGAGGCAGCAGUGGGGAAUAUUGGACAAUGGGCGCAAGCCUGAUCCAGCCAUACCGCGUGGGUGAAGAAGGCCUUCGGGUUGUAAAGCCCUUUUGUUGGGAAAGAAAAGCAGCAGGUUAAUACCCCGCUGUUCUGACGGUACCCAAAGAAUAAGCACCGGCUAACUUCGUG